UCCUCGCUGUGGUGGCGCAGCGGAGUGAGAGAGGCAGAGCGCCCAAAGUUUGAUGUAUUCAUUCGGCUUUCAGUUUAAUUCCGUCUCUUUAUUCACAUAUUCAAAUUUUCCUGCAUGUGCUUUGUAAGGAGGAAAACAUCUUGAUUUGUUCUGCCGACUUUAUAUCUUUAUUACUGCCUGGAAUGAAAGCAGGAUAUCCGGCAAUUUGGCUCACCCUCUCCAAAUCGUCAACGCUAUUUAAAAUGCAUUGUUUUCACAAAGAUGCCUGUACUCAGCUGCUGUCUUCUCUCUCCUCUUUCUCUCCCUCCGUCCCAACCUUGCUUUCUUUCCCCCUUUGCC
Long non-coding RNA from Thalassophryne amazonica, 339 nucleotides. RefSeq lists it as uncharacterized. Lineage: Eukaryota; Metazoa; Chordata; Actinopteri; Batrachoidiformes; Batrachoididae. The record is from RefSeq and is a predicted model, not a curated record. The transcript has 3 exons.